Neofelis nebulosa (Clouded leopard) is the source of this 21491-nucleotide long non-coding RNA. RefSeq lists it as uncharacterized. The record is from RefSeq and is a predicted model, not a curated record. The transcript is spliced from 9 exons. NCBI's taxonomy places the organism in Eukaryota, Metazoa, Chordata, Mammalia, Carnivora, Felidae.
UGGUGGGGGUUGACAUGAGGAAGAAAAGCAAAUGAGAUGGGGCAUCUCAGGGACUCAAGCCUCAGACCUUGUUGUUGUCAGUUAGAGGAAGUACAAGGGACAUGUGCUCCGUUUGGCUCGCGCCUGUGUGAGCUGAUAGGCUUUUAUGAUGGGCUGUGUGUGUGUGUGUGUGUGUGUCUAAGUAGCAAGUUCGAUGGAACGACUUCUGGAACAAUAAUCUCCAUUCUCUGCAGCCAGCAUCCAGGGCUCUCCCCUGAUAACAGAAACAGUGUACAGCUAUGAGCUGUGAAUCCAGUGACAGGAUCUUUCUCCCAGUCAGAAGGCCGAGAGAACCCAGCACAUCCUCCAACUGCACAAGGCUUCCAGAACACCAUUUGCAAGUAUCUAAAUAAAUCCAUGCUCAACCGUAGCAUUUUUUCAAUGUUUUGAUGAAGUAACUGCCAAAGGAGGUGUUUAGUCUGUGCAAAUGUAUUUAUAGAGGAGAAGAAAUACACAUGGAAAGAAAUCCACACAAAUCCAUUGGACAUCAAACCCCCCCAGACAGUAUCCCUUUUUUGCUCCUCACUUCUAAAGUAUACUAAACUAUCAGGUACCCACUAAGGAGAUAAAAAUUUUAAGAAUGAGGAAGAUUAGAGAUUUGGUCUCAGCAUUCUGAAUUUUAAAACUUGUGCUUUUGGAAAUAUUUUGCAUGUGAAUGAAAAAGACGUUAAGCCCCAAUGGCCUCCUGCCCUAAACCAGAGAGAGGGAACAUUAGACAUUCCAUUUGCUUGAGGCUAUUCUUUGAACGUUGAAUUCAUUAGGUUUUAAAAGCCCCUGUUAUUCUAGCUGUGGACCAACAGACUCAGAUAAAAGGUGAAAAUAAGAACCCCACUCUUCUGCCAAAUUUCUACUGAAGAAAGACAAAGAGCAGGCGAGGAAGAGGUUUGCAACGAGGUAGCCGAGAAGGGUCCCUGGCAUGCAGUCUCAGUACCAGUUUUGGUUUGGAAAGAGAAUGGAAACAGAAACUGGUUUUUACCUGGUGGUGUUCAGUUACCUCAUCCUAAAAUUCCAUCCAGUGGUGUACCCAGGGCCAUGAUGAUCAUAGCCAGCGGGAGGCGAACCUGACCAGCCAAGGGCACCGGGAGCCAGCUCUGCGUCUGUUCCCGGGCCACAGUGGACCCCUUCCCAAGAGUGUCACAGCCCACGGGACUGUAGGCUUCUCGGGGCUGUGUCUCAGUCAUGCCUGCAUCCCAACAUGAGGAACAAGGUUGGCAGUCACCCCCAGAAUCUCCUCCUCCUCCUCCUCAGAGAUCGACCAUUCCUGUGUCAAAAGGACAGGGCUGGGGCUCGGGAACGUGGCCAGCCCCAGACCUCGAGAGGAGCCCCACGGCGUGCCAGGAAGGUGCUGGGUGAAACGUUAACACCCUGAGGCUGCCUGGCCUCUGGGCCCCAGCGCGCCCUUCUGGACACUGACCCCGUCCCCCCGCUGCAGCUUGGGCAUCCCUGGCUGUGCUGUGGGGGCAAAUGAGGGUUUGUUGCGUUUCCUUCUGUGGCUGUGCUAACAACAGGUGCAGGGGCUCCGUGUCUCUGCUACUGAAAAUAGUGCCUGGAAGGAAGGAAGUGGCCAGGCCUAAUAGCUGGUUUUAGCAGAAAUGUUAAGUCUGUCCAAGAACUUGAGUCAUGCUGUGGAAGGAGCAAGAUGCAGGACAUUUCAGAGUGCACACAGUCCGAAAAACAUUUUCUGGAGUCCUUUGACCAAUUUCAUUAGACGGAAAGCUGCAUGUGCACUUCUGUUCCUCUAAGCAAGCUGCUCUUUGGAAGUUUGGUCAUUUGCUCUGUAGCUGCUCUGUAAACACAGGGGAAUGGAGAAUGCUGGCUCCGGGGAAUGUGUUGUGCCGGGAUUGUGCAAGCACCGCUCGGUGAACCCCUUACACGCGUGGCUGGAGAAACACCACCAUCACAUGCCAUGGCCUGCGCAGCACCAACAGUUGAUUUUAAUAACACAACUGUUUUUGCAGGUGCAAAAAAUUCCAGAGCGAUUGCAUCUCUCAGUUUCAGUUUUGGUUGAGAAGAACGUUUCAAAAUUGAAACACCCCAACACCCAUCCACAUGAAUCCUCAGGGAAGGAGAAUACCCAAAAUGUUCCAUCUGCCAAAAGCUUGGGGCCUAGAUCUGAGGAUGCUCAUGUUCUCCAAAUUCUCCCCAAGGCACCAGUUGAAAGGUAUUGACAUUUCGAAUCAACAAGUUAUAUGCUUGAACCCGCUGUCUGAAGUUUCAGGAUAAUGUUAGCAGCUAAAGAAGAUCCUGAGCCAUCCUUUACCGGGACAGGCUAAUUCUAUUAUUGAGUGGCUUAGAAGGAGCUAAGAAAACAUUCCUUUCGUAGAAGUUGAAAAGAUCUGUAAGGAACACCGCUGCUUCUCCAUGUGUCUGAUUCUCCUCCAGAAACAAGGCUUCUCUCAUGAGUGUUCCUUCACUCACAUUGAAGACCCUACAGGGAAUCAAUACCACAUACAUGUGCCUUCUAGAGAAUUCUUUUGAAGGAUGAGCUGCUUCCAGCAAGGGAUAGGUGGGGAAAAUGUCAACAAAAGCACUGAUGAUGAAAAUUUAAUGUAUAUACUUGUAUAACUAACACCAAAGCAAAGUUGGGAAUGUGAUCAAAUAAUAGAAUGUAAACAUGUGUUCUGGCCAAGCAGGAAGAGUGUAACUAAAAAACGGUGGAAGAAGGGAGGAAGAAGGGACCACCAUCUCAUUCAUUGUUCAUUCUCUCGUAUUAUUCAUUAUAUCAAUGAUAUUGACAGAUACUGGGUAUGAGUCGUAUCACACCACUUAAAAUGGACAAAACAAUAAAAAGUGAAGAAAAAGAGAAAUCAAAGGUAUUAAAAAAGACAUAAGUCUAGAAGUAUCCAAAUGUUCCUGCAUGAAAACAGCAUGGCCAAAUAUCUUGAUCCAGUAAUAUGGCUGCUACAGAUGGAAUGUUUGUGUCUGUCCAGAAUUUGUAUGUUGAAGACUCUUUCCUCGGUACUGGGAAAUGGGGCCUUGGGAAGUGAUUAGGUCAUGGGGUAGAGCCCUCAUGAAUGAGAUUCAUGCCCUUAGAAGAGAGGCUCUGGAAAUCUCCCUCCUCCCCUCCAUUAUGUGAGGACACGGCAAAAAACAGCCAUUCCAUGCCUUUAUCUCAGACUUCCCACCUCCGGAACUGUGAGAAAUAAAUUUCUGUUGUUUAUAAGCCACCCAGUCUAUGGUAUUCUUGGUUUAGCAGCCUGAAUGGACUAAAACAAUGGCUCUGGAAAUUGCUCAGUUCAGUGAUUUGAAGGAGAGGAUAAGGAAAUGUUCACACACCAGACUCUGGGGAGGGGAAAGUGUGUGUCUAGAAAGAAAACAGUGCUUUGUCUCACUGCUUCGACUUGUUUCUAGUUAUGGGAUUUCAUCUGUUUUGAAUUUUAUAAACAUUUCAAUAAUGUAUGAGAUUUUUGGGAUGAUGAAAAGAGAAAAUGGGUUUAAAAGGGUGAAGAAACAGUAAUCUAAGCAAGUUUCCAUAUUUGGAGGAUAAGUGCAAGCACCUGAAAUCGAGUCUCUUCAUACAGACUUAAAUUCAACAGGAGCACAAGAGUACCACCCGUAGCCCAUGACGUCAGCAUGAGAAGAGACAGAAUACCCCAAACUUCAAAUUACCAACAAGGAGAGAAAUGAAGGCUGUAUCCCAAGAGAGCUCCUAUCACUUGUCACUAUAACCUGGGUCAGCACGUGGGCAGCUUAACAUACACCAGGCUUUCAGACACCUGUGUCUCAGGAUCGGUGACUCCUUUAAGUCUCCAGAUCUCCUGAAGGGGGGUCUGUUGCUCGUGCUCAGGCGGAUCACUCGGUGUGCCCGUCAGCUGUGCCCUGCGGUCUGUGCUGUGGCCUGUGAGAUGGAUGGCAGCAUCACAUUGCCACUCAGCAAGGUCAGUGGCAAACAUGGGAAACUACAGGGUGGUCGUACGUGAAAUACGUGCAGAAAACAAAAGCUGAGCGUGGCUUCCGUAGCACAAAUACAAAAUGCCCCGAAUGCUCUUCCUGCAGUGGUUUUGUCGUUCGCUGUAUGGUCUGAAUCCACAACUAUUCAUUCUGAUAUUUAGUAAUUCCUUUUUGUUUGUUUGUUUGAUAAAUAAACAAUGUGGGGAACAAUAUACUUUUUUAAAAAGUACGUGCUUAGUGAAAAAAAUUAUUACUAUCUUUUUGAUUCUUGGGGAAGUUAUAAUGAACAUGUAAUUUACACUAAAUUUUUGUGACAUUCACCAUCCAGCCAGGGACUGGCCACAAGAAAACCUGUGGACAAAACCUACUAAAGGACUGUCAGCAUCUAUUUCAGAAGUUAGUCGUUAUUUUAAGAAGAUUGUAGGGGUGCCUGGGUGGCUCAGUCGUUUAAGCGUCCAACAUCAUCAGCUCAGGUGAUGAUCUCGCGGUUUGUGAGUUUGAGCCCCGCGUCAAGCUCUGUGCUGACAGCUUGGGAGCCUGGAUCCUGCUUCAGAUUCUGUAUCCCGCCCUCUCUCUCUGCCCCUUCUCUGCUUGUACUCUCUCUUUCCCUCUCUGAAAAGUAAAUAAAGAUUAGAAAAGAUUUUUUAAAAAGAUCAUACUUGAAGUUGGCUAUUUAACAUAAGUGGAUACCAAAAAUGUAUUUAUGUAUCACCGUGAAGUAGUGCUGACUUUGUAUUUAGAUCAAAUGUCUUUUUUCUUUUUUCUCUUUAAAAAAUUUUUAACGUUUAUUCACUUUUGAGAGACAGAGAGAGACGGAGUGCGAGCAGGGGAGGAGCAGAGACAGAGGGAGGCACAGAAUCCGAAGCAGCUCCAGGCUCUGAGCUGUCGGCACAGAGCCCGACGCGGGGCUUGAACUCACUGACGGGGCCACGAGAUCAUGACCUGAGCUGAAGUUGGAGGCUUCCGGGACUGAACCACCCAGAUUGGUUUUCCCUCCAAACUGUGCUUUGAAUUCUGUUAUCUCCAAGGUUGGAGCUGGAGCGGGAGUUGGGAUUGCAGAAAGUGUGGAGGAAGGCACAACUUUUCAGCUGGUGGAUACGGUGUCAGCUCUGUGGGCUCAAUAGAAUUCUCAAGGCCUUGUGAGUUUUGAAAACUGCCGUAUUUCCUCUAAUUUAAGACUCACUCUAUUUUUCUUACAUGUCAAAAUAAAUUAAAAAAAAAAAAAAGAAAAAAGAAAUUGCCCCAUCACGCAGAACGAGUUAAAAAGUUUUCAAAGCUGGGGGGAAUUGUUGUGACCGUUUCAUGCAUCAUUAAAAAAACAAAAAAACAAAAAAACAAAAAAACAAAAAAACAAAAAAAACCCCUGUUAUUCAGAAUUCAAAAUCUGUAGAAAAUUUCUAGUGACUUUCACUAGAAGCUGUUUAAUGUUUAUCCUUAAAAAAAAAGAAAAACAAAACUAUAAGUUUAACCAAAGAGGAAAUGCCAGUAAACCCCUAGGAUUCUCCAUGAUGCCUUCAAAUUAUAUUGUCAAUCUUAAGUGUGCUAAUGAGGCCAAACUCUUAAGCAUGGCUGAAAAGCAGCCGGUCCCCACCAGGCUAUGAAAUAACUGGGGGUACAAAAUGAUUUGGAAGAAUAUUUAAUCUCUGAUUAUGAAAGAAGCCAGAGUUAAGCUUUGGUAAUUGUGAAUGGUGUAGAGUCUGUGUCUAGAAUCGUUUUUUUGUGCAUGGACAUCCAUUGUUCCAGCACCACUGGUUGAGAAGACCAUGUCUUUUCUCCAUUGUAUCACUUUGCUCCUUUGUCAAAGAUCAGUUGACAAUACUGAUGGGAGUCUGUUUCUGGGUUCUCUGUUCUGUUUCAUUGGUCUGUUUGUUCUUUUGCCAAUACCACACCCUCUUCAUUACCGUAGCUUUGUGGGAAGACUUGAAUUAGAUAGUGUCAAUCUUCCAGCUUUGUUUUUCUCCUUCAAUACUGUGUUGACUAUUCUGGAUAGUCUGUGUCGCCUCUCCACGUAAACUUUAGAAUCAGGUUAUUGGUAUCCACAAAAUAACAUGCUGGGAUUUUAGUGGGAUUGCAUUGAACUUAUAGAUCAAGUUAGGAAGAACUGACAUCUUGAAAAUACUGAGUCUUUCCAUCCGUGAACAUAAGACAUCUCCCCAUUUAUUAUUUAUUGAAUUCUUCUCUAAUACUCUUAUCAGAGUUUUAUAGUUUUCCUCAUAUAGAUCUUAUACAUAUUUUGUUAGAUUUUUAUUUCAUUUUGGAGGGUGCUAAUAUAAAUAGUGUUAUGUUUUGGUUUUGUUUUUUUAUUUGAGAGAGAGAGGAUUUCCAGCAGGCUCCACACUCAGUGUGGAACCUGGUACAGAACUUGACCCCAUGACCCUGAGAUCAUGACCUGAGCCGAAAUCAAGAGCCAGAUGCUCAAUCAACUGUGCCACCCAGGAGCCCCAGUGUUAUGUUUUUACUUUCAAAUUCCCCUGUUCAUUGCUGGUAUAUAGGAAAACGAUAGCAGCAUAUAAUUGCACAGAUGUGUGAAUGCUAAAGUAAUUUAAGAGUAUAUACAGUUAAUUUAGCUCCCCAAGCUCUCCCUGUCUUUUUCCCUCCUCUCUUUCUUUCUAACUUCUUUAUUUACUUCCUUCUUUCCUUUCUUUCUCCCACUGAAAGGCUUCUAUUCAAGUGAUAGAGCAUCUUACAAUCAGUAGCAUCUCAGAAUUGGGGAAAUAGCAUCUCGUGUUGCUUGAUAUGGGAUGAAGGGAUGGGGAUGCCUUCAAACAGGUGGGAUUAUUGGCUCUCUUUAGAGAAGAUACUGAAGAGAUCAAAUCACCAUAAAAGAGUCAAGUGCAGAUAAACAUAAGCAAGGGCUGGGUUCCUUCCGCCUAUUUGGAGCGGGUGGAGAAAGGGUGGCUCUUGGUUUUGUGAGCAUGGCAAGUGGGUCAGAUGGGCAGAAAGCAACUCUCAAAAGAAGGGAGGCAGUGAAAUUUGAGCAUUUAGAGAUCAAGUACACAACCUUCCGUAGGGCCUUUGCAUCUACUUGUUCCCUUUGACCAGGCCAUUCUUCCCCUAGAUAGCCUCAUGGCUUUCUUCCUCAUCUGCUAUAAGUUUUUGCUUAUACUUCAAUUUCUCACUGAGGUUUUCUUUGACCACCACACUAACAAUGACAAAGUCCUACUCCCUAUAUUCCCUAAUGUCCUUCUCUGCAUUUUCUCCCACAGCAGUGCAAGGAACAGAGAAAGAAACUGAAAGGACAGGGAGAAGGGGAAAGUGCGUCUCCCCUUAUUUUUUAACAGGGAGAAUUAAGCCUCUUAUUUUUUUUUUAAUUUUUUUUUUUAACGUUUAUUUAUUUUUGAGACAGAGAGAGACAGAGCAUGAACGGGGGAGGGCCAGAGAGAGAGGGAGACACAGAAUCGGAAGCAGGCUCCAGGCCCUGAGCCAUCAACCCAGAGCCCGAUGCGGGGCUCGAACUCACGGACCGCGAGAUCGUGACCUGAGCUGAAGUCGGACGCUUAACGGACUGAGCCACCCAGGCGCCCCAAGCCUCUUAUUUUUAAUUUGCUUGUGCUCUUAAAUGCGCCAGAAUCUAGAAUAAUGCAUAGGGUAGAAACUCACUAAAUAUUUGUGGGAUGAAUGAGGGAUCCUGGUGUGACUGUCGGAAUGCUUCAUCUAUGAGUUCAAGCCCCAAUUACAAAUUGUGUUCCAUGUAAACAUAGUUCCAAGGGAUGUGAAUAGGCAUUUCCCCCCUUGUUCGGCAUUUGUUCCGUGUCAUUUUUUUGCUUUAUCCUCAUUUAAAAGAAAUGAUUGUGACAUAACUUAUAUGCAGUAAAAUUAACCUUUUAGGUGCAUUCAACUCUGUGAGUUUUGACGAACGCACAGUUGUGUAGUCAUUGCCCCUACUGUGAUGUAAAAUAUUUCCUUCACUCCAAAAACUUCCCUCUUGUCGGUUUCUAGUAAACCUUUCCCCUACUCCCAGACUUUGGUGGCCAUUUGGCAGCUUUCUACUCUUACAAGUUUUGCCCAUUCCAGGAUGUCACAUGAAUGGUAUUAUACAAUAUGUAGCCUUUGAGUCUGGCUUCUUUCCCUUCAUACAAUGUACUUGACAUUCAACCAUAUGGCUGCAUGUGUCAGUAGUUUAUUCUUUUUUGCUGUGGAGCAGUAUUCCCUUGUAUGAAUGUAUCCGUUUGUUCACCCAUUCAUUCAUUAACUGUGGAGGGGAGGAAACACACUUUUUCCUCUACCCUCUGAGGUUCAGUGGCUGGAGCCCUGCAAACUGAACUGACAAAAGACAAAUUAACAGGAGAAAAAAAGGUUUAUUUCAUAUGUGCAUAAGAAGGGCUUCACAGAAAUCAAAACCCCACAGGAGCCUGGGUGGCUCAGUUGGUCAAAUGUCUACUUCUGCGCAGGUCAUGAUCUCCCGGUUCGUGGGUUCAAGCCCCGCAUCAGGCUGACAGCUCAGAGUCUGGAGCCUUCUUCAGAUUCUCUAGUCUCUCUCUCUCUGCCCCUCCCCCACUCGCAGUCUGUCUGUCUGUCUGUCUCUCUCUCUCUCACUCACUCACUCAAAAAUAAAUAAACGUUAGAAAAAAAAUGAAAUUAAAACCCUAAAGAGGCAGGCAGACCUUAAAGCUUAUCCACCAUUUUAGCAAAAGGGCAAUAAAUUUGCAGAGCUAUAAUAAGAAAAACGGAAAGGGUUUGAGCUUCUAGGGGUGGUAAAUUGUGGGAAGGUAAAUAUAUGGGGAAACUAAUGGAAGAUAAGGUUUAUUUAGUAAAGGCUGUUUGUGUAGGUCCAUCUUGGUGCCGACUUUCCAUCUGCUUUGUGGCCAUAAAACUCGCCCAGGAGAGGGCAUUUACGGCAGCCCUCAUUUCUCAGAAGUUUCCGUUCUUAAUCAGAUAGGGGAGGCUCUGAGAAGGCCUGUUUCUUCAUCCUUUGAUUCUCAAUUGGCUGUAGCUCCAAAUCAUCUUUACCCCAAAGUGGCAUAUUUUGGGGUGGCAUAUUCUGGUCCCCUUCCGAGGACAUUUGCCCUGAUUCCUGUUGUGGGUGAUGAUGAAUGAAAUGCUUUGAGCAUUUGUGUCCUAGUUUGCUGUGAAUGUAAGUUUUUUUUUUUUUCCCACUUGGAUCAAUACCUCGGAGCGAGAUUUCUGGCUGUAUGGUAAGCGUACAUACGGCCUGAACGUGAGGACAAAGAGAGGGUGGCCAUCCACAAGCCAGGAAGAAAGCUUUCACCACAAACCGACCGUGCCCCCAGAACUGUGAGAAAAUACAUUUCUGUUGUUUAAGUCACCCGGCCUAUGGAAGCUUCUUAUGGUAGCCCAAGCUAAGACAGUAUGUAUUUGACUUUAUUUUUCAAAAUUGCCCAUUUCCCAAAGCUGUGGCACCAUUUUGCACCUUGACCAGCAGCAUUACAAAAGUCUCAUCUGCUCUGCGUUCUCACUAGUACUUAGUAUUGCCAGUUUUUUUAAAAAGUCAUUCUAAUAGGGUGUAUGUUUUAAAUUUUCACUUCCCUAUUUACUAAUGAUGUUGAACAUCUUUUCAUGUUUAACAGGGUUUUCAACCAAGUGGAACAGAUUUUCUUUCUUUACUGCAGGACUGCACUCAGUCUUACUAUAUUUAUGCACCGUGUGAACUGCCUAAUGGGAAGAUUGCUGGGACUAUGAUUUUGACUUGACUGGAACUCUUAUCUCAUGGUCAAGAUUGCAAGGCUAGGAUUCCAGUGAGAAUAUUUUAGCAAAUGCUGGCCUGAGUAUAUGGUCAAGUACACACUCUUUUGUGGAGCAUUUAAUCUGUUUGCAACCAACUCAUUCAGUCUUACUUCCCUUUGGUCCCUAUUCCCAAGAGAAACAUUUUUGAGGUAUCAGUUAUUCCACCUCCAAGCCUUUGCUCAUGUCAUUCUACCUGCUUGAAAUGCCUUCCCCCCUUCCCUUCUUCUCCCUGAACUCACCCAGCUUUGCCCAUCUGGCUCAUGCCCACAGGGAGCUUUUCCUGCCCACAGUGAUCUUUCUCAGACCUCCCGAUGACUGGGCCACUCAUGGGGACUCUUGAUCACAUCCUGCCUAGCUUUUUUCUAUAUUUUCCCCAAAGUUGCUCUGCUCUGCUUUUGUAAUGGGAUAGUUAGUGGAAGGCUCUGAUAUCCUAGACUUUUUAAAAAGUCCCCUGAUGCGUUGAGUUGUGUGCAUAGCUCCUGCUUAUAAACCCCUGUUGAAUUCAGCUAAAGUAAAUUAAUAGCCAUUUAUAUCAGCUCACUUAAAUGUUAACUCUCCACUUAUCCAGGCACCAAGAACAAAGGUCGGAAAGAGAAGUUUGUUCACAGUUCCUGACUGAACGGGGAGAAGACAUUUAAUGGAAACAUGAACCUCAUGCCUGGGUCUCCUGGAACUUGUAGCUGAACCUAGGAGUUUGUGGCCAAGCCUGCCAACCACAUCCCCCAACGAUUUCUUCUCUUUUGGCACGUUGGUCAUGGAGUUGGGAGAGGAGAGCACCCAGUCCGUUCUUAUCUUUAAAGAGAGAAGAAACAGCGAAGUCUGUGACAUUCAGGUUUCUGUGCCCUCUCUCCUCUCGUUGGUCAUCUUGCCCAGCUCAGCAGACUGUGCAUACCCAGCUCACUAGCCAGAGAACUGGCUAGCUCAGGCAGCUGUAACUUCAAGUGGGCCUGAGUCCUCUUCACCCCAACUUGAACUCCAUUCUGUUAACAACACUCCAGAGCUGUACUUCUUAACGUAUAAGUCAAACUACAGUAGUGUUUGGGCUGCCCUAGUGCCUGCAACACUCCUGAACAUUGGAAACAUGCAUCGACUUCCUCCAGGUAGAUGCAGCCCCAUGCAAGUGUGCAUGGCUUGGAUUCCUGAGAUGCUUUGGUGGAAUAGAAACUUCAAAGUGAUGCCAAGCAAGGUCCUAUAGUUUCUCGGGUGACCUGUUGCACAACCGUGCUAGAAAACUUCAAGUCUUAUUCAGAGAACUGAUAGAGAGCCUGUCUUUGGAAGCAAAGACCUGGGUCUGAAUCUGGACUCAGCCACUUACUACCUCUGUGUUCUUGGUGAUAAAGGUAAUUCUUUUUUUUUUUCCCCUUUUCUUUAAAAAAAAUUUUUUUUUAAUGUUUAUUUAUUUUUGAGAGAGAGUGUGAGCAGGGGAGGGGCAGAGAGAGAGGGAGACACAGAAUCCAAAGCAGGCUCCAGGCUCUGAGCUGUCAGCACAGAGCCUGAUGAGGGGCUCCAACUCACAAACCCUGAGAUCAUGACCUGAGCCGAAGUUGGACGCUUAACUGACUGAGCCACCCAGGCGCCCCGUUUUUCUUCCUUUUCAAUGAUAAACGUAAUUCUUAUAUCGGGACCUGCAAAAUCGAGGCUUCCGCAGUGGCAUGGCCCACCACACAAAUCGAAACCUAAGUGUGUAGCACUUAAGGGAAAUGUGUCACUGUCACAGAAACCUAGCCUAUGCCAGUCACAAUCACCCAACUCAGCUCUGCCUUACCUUAGCCUAGAAAAUAGGAACUUUGAGCUUUAUAAGGAAGUCCCCACCCUCUUGGCCAUUGAUUCUCUGAGUUGCCGUUUCUUAUGCUCUAAAAAAUCUGCUGUUGCCCCAACUCCCUCAGGAAGAAUGCUUUUUUACUGCUUGAGAAGCGCUGUCCUCCCCCAAUGCAUGGGUCAUUUCCCCGUGAAUAAAGGACAUCAAAGUCAUUGCACGGUUUUAUUUUUGUCAUUUGACAUUGGGAAAAUCACUUAACCUCUCUGAAUUUCAAUUUCAUCCUCUAUAGCAUGGGCAUGAGAAUUCUUUCGUCCACAAACUCUCAGGGUAUUGUCAACAUUCAGUGAGACACUACCUGGAGGGCCUGACGCAUUGUGAAUACUCAAUAAAUGGUUACAUGGUAUGAACUCAUUUCUACUGUAAGUUCCUAAAGCUUGAGUUACAAAUAAAAUGUGACAAAAUAUGCAUGCAUUUUCACAUGUGAGUGUUUUCACUUGACGCAACUGAAACAAUUCUAGGGAGUUCAUGACCUCGAUCUCUUUAUUCAUUGUAUAUGAAGAGGCAUGUGGCAGGGGUCCUUCACAUAACUCCAUCCCACCGCUGUCCCCAUAAGUGGUUACAGAUCUUAAGUGGGUGGCACUGGGGUUCACUGAGAAAUACCCAGAUCAUUCCUUCAAACCUUGUGAAGUUACUUUUGUCAACAAAUGUCAGCUUUGGGAUUCUCCUUCUAAAAGCUCAUUCUCGUCUUCCUGGGAAUUCUUAACUAGCUCCUUUGAGAUCCAGUAGAAGCAAGGAAACCACUUGCUUAGGAAGAAAUAAACUAUCUGAAGUGCAUACACCUUUGCAAAACUCAGCCAUUGUGCUCAGCUCAGCACUUUUUUUUUUUUUUUUCAGGAUUUGAGGGGCCAAUCUACCUAGUCAAAUGCUAUACAAAAGACCUUUUUUCUGGAAUCAACUUCCAGCAAGGGAUUAGCACCAGUUCUGAGAUUCCAUCUGUCUUGUUUACAUUCCUUGUGCGAUUUCAGAACAUCGUGUUCCCUUUCUUGUAAUUGCACAACAAAAGCACUGCCACAGGGCCCUGGAAUGUCUUUCCGCUCCAUGUCAGGAUUUCCUUCUGGCUGGCAUUCUUUGCAGACAGCUCUGGGACCUCCAGGUGGGCUGGUUCAGAGAAGAGAACUUGGGCUUUAGAGACAGACGGACAAACCUCCAGUUCUGCUGCUGCCAUUCGUGACAUAUUCACUGAACCUUCCUUCUGUAAAAUGGAGAUAGUAACAUUUUAGCCUUUGUAGGAUCCUUGUGGAGAUUGAAUAAGACGAUGUGUGUAAAUCAUCCAGCACAGGACCUGGCAAUCUUAGGUACUGCGAUAAGUGACGUCAUUAUUUUAAUUCUGGUGCCAAGGGACCUUGCAGCAUUCAUUUCUUUCUUGUGCCCAGCAUCAAAAUGCUCUACCUUUGCCUGACUUCUCCAAAGGAACACACACACCUGUCCCACUGGAGAAGGUGUUAAGUGAUGCAGAUUCUUGGCUUCACUAUCUUUUAAAAUAUUCUGUGGCUGGGCAAAAAGGCUCUCUUGGUGACCCGCUGGUCACUGUUUAAAUCAGUGCUGCUUUUGUAACAUCGCUGGAGACAGAGGAGGGACACCUGACUGUUGACUGGGAAGCAGACACGUGAAGGGCCUUGUAAUGAUGUCCACCUGAACACGAUGAUCCAGAACAGCUGUGGUGUCUCGGCAGCUCGCCCUUUGCAAGGUUGGAAAGGAGUGGGUGUGGCCACAGGUCCUACGCUCUCGUUGUGCACGGUUAUGGGCCAGGAACGCUCACUUGGCAAUGAAUACAUUGUCACCGAACUUGCUGUACGUGGGGGCUACUCUGUCAAGGUGAAGGCCCCAGACAGGCCCCCGAGCAGUCUGAGAAGCCUUAUGUGGGGUUCCCCAAAGGAAUUUCACGGCGCACUCCACAGCCAGAAGUAAGCAUCUUCUUACUUAGCAAAACAAAAGUUGAUGGACACAGACGGAGAGUCCCACACUGGUGUAUCCGUGGUACAAAGAUGUGAGAUUGGGAACAAAGAAAGAAGCAGACCACAAUGGGUGGCAGCACGUACCGAUAUUAAAAGGACCAGCAAAUAGUGCAAAAGAUUCUCUAAAAGGUCUCCCAAUAGAUAUUACUGCUUUGCCAGUUGGCCUUAUUUUCUUGGCAACCCAUGAAACUAGACUUUUAACCCCGGAAACAUUUAUCAGACUUGAGAGACACAAUGCAGACCCAAAGAAUGAACGUCUCAGGAGGCUGUGCAUGCCAGCUUGGCACGUAUGUAAUCAUUAUAAAUCAUCUCACAGAAAUUUCCAUGCAUUCUCAGUACUAGUUAAUAACUAACUUUAUAUGAGAAUUUACAAUGGAGUUCUUUGCUGGUGUUAGGUCAUUUGAGCCUCACACGGGAUAGGGAGAGCAGACAGGUGAGGAAAGUGAGCUGUAGAGAAUUUAAAUUGCAGAGGAGAUUGAACUCCAAUCUUCACCCCGUAAAUCCCACAUGUUUCCUGCUAUUCUGAGGAGUCCGUUUCUACUGCACUGGAGAGUAUGGCUUCAAGAAGGAGCAGGGCACAGGGCUUUGCCACACUUCGCUGAAUUAGCUGACGAAAGUUCUUCAGGGCGAAGAAGCCAAUAGCACACUCAGCCCUCCGUUCACAUGAAAGCUUGGAUAUCCUCAGCCACGGCAGAACUAUGUUUCUAAUUGAACAGCGAGGGUCCCACAUCACGCACAUGAGUCUCUAGGACAAAUGGCUGGGUUCUGUCACUGGAGGUGAUUAUCCGGUUUUAGUCCAGAAAUUAAAAAUGAUGUCAUGGUCCAACCGGGCACACCCGGUCUUCCACAUGGACGGGCUUGCCGGUUGUGAGUUAUUGUGAAGGGGUGGGUCCUCAAACGGGUCUUCAGAAUUCAGAAAGUGGGCCUCUGGCAGGUAAGACAAAGAAUCCUGAGGCUUUUCUGAGCCUGGCUUCUUGGGUCUGAAAUUGGAGGAACCAAGAAAUGCUUUAAAGGAUUCUAGGUGGUAGGAGUUCAGUAAGACCCCAGGGUCUGGAGGGCAGCUUGCUACUUGUACCCUGGAGAUCACGGUGGUGUUUCUCCUACUUCAGGAUAUUCGGAAUUCUCCGUGCAUUCACAGAGAGCUGCCAUCCCGUUCCAUUAAGACAUUCCAGUUCAACGGUUCCGUGUUGUGUUAGCUGUGUAAAGUGGGGAGGUUGGGUGGGUGAAGAAACAGGGAGGGAGGGUAUUAGCAGAAGUGCCAUAUGCCUAUCCUCGUGCCAGGCUGUUAAAUAAGGGUGAGGCGAUGGUCCCUAAAGCCUGGGCUUGCGGUCAGCAGACCUCAGGGAGCAAACCUGUGGCAGAGGGUCUGCUGCCCUUCUCAGUCAGCAUCGGAGAAGACAUGGGAUUUCCCAAAGCCGGCACCUUUUGGUGGUUCUGUUACUCUUUCGAGGCCAAGCAAGACAGACACGCUGUGCACCCAUGUAAACAGAAGGUAACGAGUUCUUCUUUUUCUCAUGGCCUCUUUCAUGCCCACAGCAGGCCGAAUGUUCUAGCCUUAUGGGAACCACCUCCCCUCCCCCCCACCAUCUUUGAUUAUCAGAGUCUGAAUUUGUAGCCUUUGUUACUGUGGGCUGCACUUUGCAGUGUCUUCAAACACCGGGAUACACGACAUGAGGUCAAUAGGUGCGAAAUCUUCAGUCUUUGGUUGUUUUGAAAUAAUUUCAUAGGAAAAAUUCUGGAGAACUGACCCCUUAAAAAUCACGAGCAGACGUUUCCUGAGAGAUCAAGCUUAAAUUGUUCUUUGGGGCAGCCUGCUCCCACUUAACGGGGCCCUCACCAUUAACCAGAUGGAACUGUGCACUGUCCUGGGGGCUCUGGCUUUGCCCCCUUUUGGCGGCACUGAUGGAAGACGGUACAAAGAGAGAAGCAACGAUUCUUGGCUCCGUAAGGACUUAGAGCAAGUUGCACCGAGACCUGCACUCUUGCCUGGACUGUAAGUGGCUGGGUCUUCCUCCCUCACAGUUGUAGUGUUCUCUGUGCAGUUGUUCCUAAGGGCUGGAAAGCCGAUGGCGGCCCUCUGCGAGAAGGACAAGCAGACAGGAUCACCACCCCAUGCCGGAGGAUUGGAUGUCACCAGAAUGGGCUUUGGCCCGGCACUCCCCAGAUCGGAUUCCUGGGGUCCACUGAGUAAGCAUGAUCCCACCAACUCUAAUGCCUGUAGGGACCAGGCAACAAUAGAAAUUGUUAACAAGAGACCGGGUGGGAUUCUGGCAGAUUGGAGAACAUGGGUCCCUUGGGAGGGAACAGCCGCUUCCGAGCUGGAGCUGGUUGCUGACCCGCAGUUAGAGGGGCAGAGAGUGUUGCUAUGUCUUCUUAUCUGAGAUGAGAUGGAAAUCUUGAUUGUUUUUUCAUGUGAAAUAUCUCAACUGGAAUACUGAUAGCAGUUCAGGUUUUUAAAAACCGCUUUGUAAGUUUAUGACAUUGAAGUUGAGGGUCUGUUGUCUCAACACUCUGCUGCCAUACAUCAUCUACAUAUUUGUCCCUGACAACGCUAAUAACAUUGACCUGUAGGGCUCCAACUCUCCCUCUUCCUUCCUUUCCAUCUCCCGGGGCUCAGAAUACAUGGCUUGCUGAAUUCCCCUGAGCAUCCUGUGAGGUGGGCAGGGGUGAGAGGCUUCAACAGCUUUCUGCGGCAAAGCGGGUCCCCAGGGCCCGAUGAGGGCACCCCUAGCCCUCACUCCUAGGAGGUGCCCCUCUGGGCAUGGGACAAAGCCUCCCACUGCUGCAAGGCAAGCCCUGCUGGGGUGACACAGGACACAUGGAAUCCACUGCAUCAGUAAUGACACUGUCCGGAGGUCUACAAGAGGAAGUGAAAGGAAAGCCCAUCAAAACCCAUCCAGAAGAGCAGGGAAAUUCCAUGUAGCCAGGGUCUACCCACACCACUGGUGGCAGCCGGGCUCCGCAGAGAGCCCCAGCUCUGUAGCUAUCUUGCAGGGCCUCUGUGCACGGGCUGCCUUAAUGUGCUGAUGCGAAUGUCAAUACCGGCCCCUGUCGUAAUCUAAAGGUCAGCAGAUGUGUCCUCUGGCAUGUGGGGCCUGCAGGGGCGCUAGUACUGGAAACACCUGCAGUGCUGAGGCUGUGCCCAUCCAGGUGGCUUCUGUGGGGCCCCGGGCUGGGCUGGAACAGUGUUGGAGAAGCCCUCUGCUGAUGGUUGCGGGCCCUGCCAGUGGGCUCUCCUCCCCCACCCUGCAGGAUGAGUGGUGUUAGCCAGCUUUCCCUCCUGUCGUGAGCACGGUGUUCAGGGCAACCACGUGUCCUCUGAGAGGUGAUAGAAAUAAUGAGAACAAGAAGACAGGCCCAAAGUAGACUUUACUUUGAUCAGACCCCAUAUGUGUGUCGUGCCGUGAAGGGAAUGGCCCGGGAUCUGGAGCCUCUCCGCUGCCUCCUGUCCCCUUUGGGGAAUGGUUUCUCUGGGGAACCUUAUUCUUUCAGGAUCCUGUCUGCCCGCCGAUUCUCCCCGAUGGUCUUUAUAGCCUGGUGCAAUUUGGCUUUAAUACACCAGAGAAAUAUGAAUGGGAACAGAAACACAACACAGAUGUCCACAGCCUCUUCCCCUGUGUCACAGAACUACGUAUGUGCUUUGAGCUAGUGGUUUUGAGGAAUGAUGAAAAACAUGUGGUUUUACCCCAACUUCCAAGAAUUAGAGGCAGAUUCUAGGAGGGUGGGGACUGCCUGAACUUAAAAAUAGUAGCACAACACAUCUGGUGAGGGGAUAUUACUGCCCAUUAAAAGGACAAAAUAGGAGUUGGUCUGUGGGGUAGUGCAUAUAUGUUCCCAGCUUUCCCGGUGAGGCCCAGCCCUGGGGGUGCUGCCUUCCCUUGACGUUGAGGACUGAUAAAGAAUUCCUCCGAUUUCUAAUGUUCACAGAGAACAGUGAACCUCCUGGUGGUGAGCCAUAUCUCCCUGGAAUGUAUCCUCACUUUGCCAGAGAGAAGUUUCUAGAACUAAGCCUGACCAUGCACGUUACUCCCCCGUUUAAAUGCACUCUUUGGUUCUCAGACUCAGCAGGUUGUACCAGACCCCUGAUGUUCAGGCUCCCGCUUAUCUCAGAGGUCCACAUAUAGUCCAUGUUUUCUCUUGCCGUUUGGUUUCGUUCUGUUCCAAUUCUCUUUCUCCGCUUGACUAACUCUUACUUCAAGAUUCAGGUUAUGGGAGAUUUCUGGGAUGACUGCCCAGCACUGCCCACCCUAUCUGAGUUAAGGGCUUGGCACUCGCAUAGCCCAACCGCCCAUGUGUCUGACCUGGCAUUAAGCAUGCACUUUGAACGGUCUUUCUCAUUCUCUUGUGUUUUCCAUCGCAUUAUGCGACCUUCAAGUGCGGGGAAGCACAUCUCCUCUUUGUUCUCCUGAGUACAGGUUUUUCUACCAGUAAAAAUGUAUGGAGCUCUCCUUAUGCCUUAGUUGCUAUGCUAAGCUCUACGGAUGCGGUGGCAACAAACAUACAAAAAACAUGCAGGAAUAAAGACAUGAUUGCCCCCCUGUAUUAGUUUCCUAGGGCUGCCAGCCCUAGGGUUUCCAUCCCUAGGGGUAGCCCACAGGAGAGAAUCGUGGCUGGCUUUUGUGACUAUUAGCUCAAUCUUCACCCACUUCCCUUCAAGCUCAACCCACAGACUGGGUGGCUUACGCAACAGAAAUGUAUUGUCUCACAGGUGUCCGCGGAGAGUAACGUGACUGGCAUCAGCCUGCAGGAAGCUCACAGUCUGGGAGGAAAGCCAGACCUGCGAGCCAAUCAGUAAUACUGAAUGACAAUGGCCACACUACACACCGGAGCGGGGGCUCGGGAAGCACAGAAGCCAGUCCUCUGGGAAGCGCUGAGCAAAAAGGGAGCAAGAGUGAGAGAGGGGGCCGGUUGGGAGAAAAGCUGCUGAGUGGAUUUGGCUGAAGUCCUUCUGCCUUGAGCAGACAGGGCCCCCAGGGGAAGUGGCUCUAGAUCUUUGUACAAAGGAGUUAAGAGGCUGGGACCGCACCUACCCCGCUGGGUGUACUCUUUGGCUUUUUUUUUUUUUGGUUGAAACGUAGAAUUCAUGUUUUUGUUGUUGUUCCUGGUGAGGGGAUGUGGAAGAAGAGUGAGCUAAUAGUCACAAAAGCCAGCCAGGAUUCUCUCCUGUGGGCUACCCCUACGGAUGGAAACCUGGAGGGACUCUGUUCCCAGGCACAAGGUUGUAAACAAGUGAAUAGAAUAGAAAUAAUGGCAGGGGGUGUGAGAGGAGGAGAGAAGGUGACUGGAGAAGAUUAGGAGGAAACAGGGGUUGGGACUGAUUGCCUGAGGGAGCAUAUACCUCCCUGUGGAGUCCCAGGAAGGUCACCCCAUGAGGAGGUGGGGUGUGACCAGGGGGGACACAAGAAGUCUGCCUAGGACUGAACACUUAGUGGACUGCACAACCUUCAGAGUGGAAUGAUGCUUCUUUGUGGCACGGGGGUGGGUGCAUUUGCUUUUCCAGUCACCUGUCGGGCUUGGGUGCCAGCCAGAGAAGGGACCACGAGGGCUGACUCCCUAUAUGUGGUUAGGAACCCUAUUCAGAGUCUUUUUUUCUCACCUGUUGUUUUCCUAAACCUCUUAUCAGCCCCGUGAGAUAGGUGUGGCCGGGAUUAUUGACUCUGCUGCAGGUGAGAAAACAGAGAGGCUAGGCCAGUGGCCAAGGACAACCAGGGCUGAUGGAGCUGCUCCUACACCCAGGCUGUCCUCUCCUUGACCUCUUUCCCCCCAGGGGCUCACUCCUAUUCCAGUCACGGUCAAGGAGACGGAGUGCCUAAUCUUUUUGCAAACCGUGGAAACAGGAUUGAUUAAACUGGCAAUAACUUUCCACUAUACCCUAGGAAAACAAAAUACAGAGAGCACCAAGUCUAAUGUGCGGUUGUACGCAAUGGAAUACUUAGAAACGGCGGAGUGGAGGCCCCCGGGUGGCUCAGUGGGUUAAGUGUCUGACUCUUGGUUUCCGAUCAGGUCAUGAGCUCAGUUUCAUGAGUUCAAACCCCGUGUCAGGCUCCGCGCUGGUGACCUGAAGCCCGCUUGGGCUUCUCUGUCUCUCUGCCUCGCUCUCUGCCCCUCCCCGAUCCACACGGUCUCUGUCUCUCUCAAAAUAAAUACAUAAACUUAAAAAAAAAACAAAACAGUGGAAUGGAUAUACACGCGACAGCACGGUUGGAUUUUACGAAGGCAGUGCUGAGUGAAAAGGGUAAGAAAUGGCAGGAGGUACAGGACGCAGUUGGCUUUAGGUCAAUUAAAGAUACAUGCCUACACCCACAACUUUCUUUAAAUGGGCACAAACAAAAAUUCAUAAUCAAACGCAUUUCAAUGGUUAUCUAUGGGGAAGUAAGCAGUAAAAGCUAAUAAAUAACCAAAGGAAAGACCUUGUCUGGACCGAUAAUGGCAACGUGUCAUGAAUUCUAUAUCCUCAACCUCUGUAGCCAGAGAUACGAAACCCGCCAACAAAUAAACAAAGCCAAGACAGACCCCUCAAAAAUACCGCAAAGAUGUAUGAACUGUGAACUUCAGCUUUGCUAAAGCCUUACGCUUUGUUGGCAGUGAGUGAAGGAGGAGGUGGGGGGGACGGGAGGGGGUGGCAGGCAAACCAGUGCCUUUCCUUCUGUGCAUUCACUUCACAGAACUGUUCCCGGUGUCUCCUCAAUGAAAUGACUUAUAACAUCCAUCCAUCCACCCCUCCCUGCAUCCAUUCGCCCAUCCCAAACAUUUAUCGAGUGUUCCUAAAUGGAAGAGCCUCUGCUUUGCCCUGGAAGGGACAAAGAGGUAAGGAAAUCGGAUCUUCCCUGGAGAAGUGUUUUAUCCGGUUUAAGUAUAAGAUGUCAGGGACUAUGUGAAUUUGGAUUUUAAAACGUGCCUAUACAGAGAGCUUGUAAAAAUAGUACUAAAAAAUCUCAUUUUGGUCCACUUCCCUUAGUUACAAUAUAGAAGCCGGGGAGAGAGAACUCAUACUUGGGAUGAGAUAAGUCACGUUGCUGAUUUUACGAUGGAAACCCCAAAGCAACUGAAAAUUGUCUGCCUCUAAAUGAAAGGUUAACCUUAAAAACAAAACAAAACAAAACUAUUCAUUGAUUUAUUUCACUGUGAUGCCAGUUAGGGUUCUGAGCAUUUUCAGUCAGGUAUGAAUGUAUGAGGAAGGUAACUAGAUUAUGCCCAUCUUUACAGACAGAAAACUGAGGGUGACAACACUGAGUAAUUUACUCAAGGUCACACAGUGAUGAAAAAGGGAUUUGAGCCCAGGUAAUUUAAAAUCAAAAGUAUUUUUAUCCCUUACAUCAGGAGGCAGUGACUUUUUUUUUUUUUUUUUUUUUUUUUUUUCUAUUUAAAGCUAGAUAGUAAAUACUUUAGGCUUAGGGUCACAAGUCUGUGUUGACUACUCAGCUCUGCUCUUGUACUGCAACUGAAUGGGCAUGACUGUGGCCAGGAUAGUCAUGCUGCCUGCAUUCUUUCUGGGCGGACUUUCUCACGUCCUCACAGGUAUGCUCUCAUUAGUGUUCCAACAAGGUCUCCAGGGGGAGUGUCUGCAUGCCUCUGGAGAGCUCUCUCCGAAGGCACCAGCUGUUCUGUCCUGGAGCUCAGAAUCUCAUUGCUCUGCUCCAGGCAGGGGCACUGCUGGCCUCAGAAUGCACCUCGUAUUUAAUACAUUGCAUAGAUUGUUUUAAACCAACUCUUUCAGACUACAGACUUAGCUUUUCUUCAAGCCAAGGACAAUUUCCCUCCACUUUAAUGGUUACUUCUUCUCCAUGGACACCUUUUCCUUGUACUGGAAAUUCUAACAGAGGAUCACAAUCCCUUAUCUAACGUAUCUUUGUGUUUUUGCUUUGUUUUGUGUGUGUGUGUGUGUGUGUGUGUGUGUGUGCGCCUUUUGAAAAAUAAAUUUCCAGGGGCACCUGGGUGGCUCCAUUGGUUAAGCGUCUGACUCUUGAUUUUGGCUCAGGUCAUGAUCUCACAGUUCAUAGGAUUGAGCCCCGAGUUGUGUUCUGUGCUGACAGCAUGGAGCCUGCUUGGGAUUCUCUCGCUCUCACUCUCACUCUCGCUCUCUCCUUCUCCCUCUGCCCCUC